AUGAAGCAAACAAAAUGGAUUAGGCCGGUUCCGGGAAUGGUGAAGCUCAACGCAGAUGGUGCAGUGGCGAAGAAUCUGAACAAAGGCGCUGUUGGUGUUGUAUGCCGGAGUCAUGAUGGACUGUAUCUGGGUGCGUCGGCAGUGGUGUUCGACGGUGUGACGGAUUCCACAACCCUUGAAGCUCUUGCAUGUCGAGAGGCUUUAUCACUGGCCGAGGAUCUGCAUGUGAAUAACAUUAGUAUUGCAACCGACUGUCUGAGAGUCAUUAAUGAGCUUCGUGAGUCCGUUCAUCUGGGUCCUUACUGCAUGAUCCUAAAUGAUAUCCGGGAUAAAGCUGCGACCCUCCCGGAGUGCUCCUUCAGCUACGAACAGCGCAAAUGUAAUGUCGAGCCUCAUAGACUAGCUAGGAUGGCAACUAGUUUAGAUGUGGGGAGGCAUGUCUGGCUAGGUGACCCCCCUGCUCACCUUUGUAUCUCUCAAAACAUUGAUCUUUGA
RNAcentral lists this ribosomal RNA (495 nucleotides) under Triticum aestivum (bread wheat). RNAcentral describes it as "partial small subunit ribosomal RNA". The record is from RNAcentral. Lineage: Eukaryota; Viridiplantae; Streptophyta; Magnoliopsida; Poales; Poaceae.